ACACUCCUGCGGGAGGCAGCAGUGGGGAAUUUUGGACAAUGGGCGAAAGCCUGAUCCAGCAAUGCCGCGUGAGUGAAGAAGGCCUUCGGGUUGUAAAGCUCUUUUGUCAGGGAAGAAACGGUGAGAGCUAAUAUCUUUUGCUAAUGACGGUACCUGAAGAAUAAGCACCGGCUAACUACGUGCCAGCAGCCGCGGUAAUACGUAGGGUGCAAGCGUUAAUCGGAAUUACUGGGCGUAAAGCGUGCGCAGGCGGUUUUGUAAGUCUGAUGUGAAAUCCCCGGGCUCAACCUGGGAAUUGCAUUGGAGACUGCAAGGCUAGAAUCUGGCAGAGGGGGGUAGAAUUCCACGUGUAGCAGUGAAAUGCGUAGAUAUGUGGAGGAACACCGAUGGCGAAGGCAGCCCCCUGGGUCAAGAUUGACGCUCAUGCACGAAAGCGUGGGGAGCAAACAGGAUUAGAUACCCCGGUAGUCCCAUGAU
Molecule: ribosomal RNA, 477 nt
Filed under: uncultured organism
Description: partial 16S ribosomal RNA
Rfam family: Bacterial small subunit ribosomal RNA
Source: RNAcentral